This 840-nucleotide long non-coding RNA is filed under the name Marmota monax (woodchuck). The record is from RNAcentral. Lineage: Eukaryota; Metazoa; Chordata; Mammalia; Rodentia; Sciuridae.
CCUGAGUUCAAUCCUGAUAGCAAAAAAAAAAAAAAAAAAGUGGGGGGGUGUUGGUGCUGAGAAUUGGACCCAGGUCAUUAGGAAUUUCUACCUCUGAAGUACACCCUCAGCCCCUACAUCAUCUGUUUUGACCUGUCAUUUUGCAAAAGUGUGGUGUUUAUAGCUCUCUGAACUUCGAGGAAAUUUUCCAUAAAACAGUUCUAGAUCCUUAGGUAAUUUAUGUAGUAACUACUACUCAGAAAAGUGAUUUUUCAAGGCUAAGGAUAUUUGCUCAGUUGUGUGUAUUUCUUACUCCAAUCUAUUUAAUCUAUUUAAAUUAGUUAAUUUAAAUAGAUUAAAAAAUACAGUAAAACUGGGCAUGGUGGGGCACACCUGUAAUCCCAGUAGCUCUGGAGGCUGAGGCAGGAGGAUCUUGAAUUCAAAGCCAGCUUUAGCAAUUUAGUGAGGCCCUAAGCAACUCAUUGAGACCCUGUCUCUAAAUAAAAUAUUUAAAAAGGGUUGGGGAUGUGGCUUGGUGGUUAAGCGCCCCUGGGUUCAAUCCCUGGUACCAAAAAAAAAAAAAAAAGAAAGAAAGAAAAAGAAAAGAAAAAAGUACAGAAGGUGCUAAAUGAAAAAAAUUAAUAUUAAGUAUCAAAUUUCUUUUUGCAGUGGCUAUUAGCAAUACUGGUGGAUUUUAAGUGUCUCUGAAUUAUCUCAGUUUUGUUUUGGGCAAUUCUCAUUCCUAUUUAUAACAGAAUUAAAGGAUUCAAAAAUUGUUUAAAGGGGCUGGGGUUAUAGCUCAGUGGUAUAGCACUUGCCUAGCCUGUGUGAGGGUUUGAUUUUCAGCACCACAUAAUAAAU